Molecule: ribosomal RNA, 253 nt
Filed under: uncultured bacterium
Lineage: Bacteria
Description: partial 16S ribosomal RNA
Rfam family: Bacterial small subunit ribosomal RNA
Source: RNAcentral
UACGUAGGGUGCAAGCGUUAAUCGGAAUUACUGGGCGUAAGGCGUGCGCAGGCGGUUUCGUAAGUCUGUCGUGAAAUCCCCGGGCUUAACCUGGGAAUGGCGAUGGAGACUGCGAGGCUAGAGUUUGGCAGAGGGGGGUAGAAUUCCACGUGUAGCAGUGAAAUGCGUAGAGAUGUGGAGGAACACCGAUGGCGAAGGCAGCCCCCUGGGUCAAAACUGACGCUCAUGCACGAAAGCGUGGGGAGCAAACAGG